CCCUUUUCCAAAGAGGGGUAUGCGGAAGGAUCAUUACCGAGUGAGGGCCCUCUGGGUCCAACCUCCCACCCGUGUCUAUCGUACCUUGUUGCUUCGGCGGGCCCGCCGUUUCGACGGCCGCCGGGGAGGCCUUGCGCCCCCGGGCCCGCGCCCGCCGAAGACCCCAACAUGAACGCUGUUCUGAAAGUAUGCAGUCUGAGUUGAUUAUCGUAAUCAGUUAAAACUUUCAACAACGGAUCUCUUGGUUCCGGCAUCGAUGAAGAACGCAGCGAAAUGCGAUAAGUAAUGUGAAUUGCAGAAUUCAGUGAAUCAUCGAGUCUUUGAACGCACAUUGCGCCCCCUGGUAUUCCGGGGGGCAUGCCUGUCCGAGCGUCAUUGCUGCCCUCAAGCACGGCUUGUGUGUUGGGCCCCCGUCCCCCUCUCCCGGGGGACGGGCCCGAAAGGCAGCGGCGGCACCGCGUCCGGUCCUCGAGCGUAUGGGGCUUUGUCACCUGCUCUGUAGGCCCGGCCGGCGCCAGCCGACACCCAACUUUAUUUUUCUAAGGUUGACCUCGGAUCAGGUAGGGAUACCCGCUGAACUUAAGCAUAUCAAAACCGGGAAGGGAUCAUUACCGAGUGAGGGCCCUCUGGGUCCAACCUCCCACCCGUGUCUAUCGAACCUUGUUGCUUCGGCGGGACCGCCUAUUUUAACGGUCGCGGGGAAGGUCUUUGCGCCCCAGCCCCCGCGAAACCCUACAUGAAAGCUGUUCUGUAAAGUAUGCAGUCUGAGUUGAUUAUCAUAAUCACGUUAAAACUUUUCAACAACGGAUCUCUGGAUUCGGCAUCGAUAAGAAAGCAGCGAAUGCGAUAGUAAUGUGAAAUUGCACAGUCAUUGAAUCAUCGAGCUCUUUGAACGCACAAUUGCGCCUCCCUGCUAUUCAGGGAGCAUGCUUGUCGAGCAUCAUUGCUGCCACGACCAGGAUGGUGAUAUGGGCGCGCUCUCCUCUCAGAGGAGGACCAAGGCAGCCGCACCCGUCGGUCUUCAGAAGGGUUGUACCUGUUCUUAGGCGCGAGCCGACACCAAUAUUCAGUACCUCGACGUGCAUCCGCUCAUAGCCUAGCGUGGAAGAA
This 1110-nucleotide ribosomal RNA is filed under the name Aspergillus sp. MBL1412. RNAcentral describes it as "eukaryotic LSU rRNA". The stretch from base 222 to 375 matches the Rfam family "5.8S ribosomal RNA". The record is from RNAcentral. Lineage: Eukaryota; Fungi; Ascomycota; Eurotiomycetes; Eurotiales; Aspergillaceae.